RNAcentral lists this long non-coding RNA (2381 nucleotides) under Homo sapiens (human). RNAcentral describes it as "HSALNT0203878". Lineage: Eukaryota; Metazoa; Chordata; Mammalia; Primates; Hominidae. The record is from RNAcentral.
UACAGUACUAGAGUACCAUGUAAUACACACGGUAUUGAUGGAAAAUAAGCAAGAGCUGCCUAACACAACCUGAGGCAAUCAAGGAGACCCCUGUGGAGGUGGUGAUGCCUACACUGAGCCUUAGAGUUGGCAAAGAAGUUAGCCAAGUGAAAGGUGAAGAAUCAAUACUCCAGCUUGAGGGAAGCAUGCAAAGAAAGGGGCGAAGUAACUGAAAUCACGGUAUAUGGAAGGAACCUGUGAUAACUCCACAUUGUAGGAGGUAGGACGUGAUGAGGUUUCUUCCACAGGGGUGACUGCUUGCUAGUUGAUAAGCUUAGAUGCAAAAGACCUUGGACUUUAUCCUAAAGGCAAAUGGAGAAUGUCUAGGCUUGAAAGAUUUAAUGCAGUUUCCAAGAUCUGAUAUGCAAAGUUAAGAACAACUUAGAUUCUACACAAACCAGAACAUUAAAUGCCAUAAAAUUGUAGUCAACAUAGCUAUGUAUACACUGAUUCAAACAUUCCAUGGGUCAUGUCUACAGCCGGGUGUUAGAAGAAAUGAUCUCUGAGAUAAAUCCAGCCAAGAUUCUAUUUUCUGAUUCCAAACGCCCAACAAAACUGUCGACCUGGAUCCGUCCUUUUGAAAGCAAUGAAGCAUACCACAGGACAAAUAGCACAGUGUUACCAACGUAUAAUCGUAAAAUGAAAAGAGCAUUUAAAGGGCUGUGGAAUCAAAGGCCAGUGGCGGACAUGGGCCUCAUUCUCACUCGUCCAACUUCUCUUUCCAGCAAACCAUACCUUUUCUGCAAUUGUAGCUCAUCAUGUCAGAUGAAUGAAACUGAUUAAGGCAACUCUCUCCUGCCAACUUCACCAUAUUUGGAUGCAGCGUCUCAUCCUUCCAUCUCACCUGUCCAGAAAUGAUGCCUGGGCUGUGAGACCAUUCCUGUGGCCAUGAAGGAAACCUCCAAAGAAUCAGAGACCUUGGUGCUAGCAUUGCUGAGUCCCUGAAUCAGUGCCAACAACAACCCACCUACAUAUUUUGCAUCCUCUAUGAAAAACAACCCCCUUUGAAUUCAGGUUUUCUAACACAUACAGCCAAAAGCCUACCUGGCUGAUACAUUUAUAGACUACAUUGCUGUUGAGACUGCCCGAGAGACACCUGUCUGCAGAGCUCAUGUUUACCCAUUAUCACUUGUGCCUGCUUUCUUUUCCCAGGGUAUAACGAGUUCCUUGGUGUGCUCCUGUUGCUAUUUUCAGUCUUCCACCUCUCCUUGCAUAAGUCAAAACUUGGGAAUAUCCAGGCAGCCUUUCCUUCCAGCUCUUCCCCAUACCUUCUGCUUGCUCCCAAGUGCUAAUCUCACUUCCAGCUAUUUAUGCUGCAGGCUCUUCAUUUCUUGCCUUCCAAGCAGCCACAUUCUGGGUGAUACAGAACCAGGGUACCUGUUACUGGUGCUACUAAAUACCCCAACACAAACAUCACAAGAUUCCUUUUCAGUGUCACCAGGAGUAGGGACAUUCAUCUUCCCAUUAAAGACAAAUUAACCACUUGCCUGUCUCUACCUUGUCAGUUUUACUACCUUAGUCUCCACCGGUUCUCAAAAAGCCCUCCUGCCCACUCAGUCCUUCAUCCCUGCCUGCUCUCUGUUGAAGUCUGUUCCGCUCCAUACCCAACAACACUGGUAAAGGCUGCGCCAUCUUUGAAUAGUGUUUCCAUUUAUUAUUUUGUGUUAUUGUUAUUUAGACAAUCAAAUCGUUCACUUAAAUGAAUACAUUAUGAACAUAUUUUAAAUUGCCUAUGGACUUAUUUAAGAUAACAAUUCCUCAGAUCUAAAAUUAUUUACCCAUUUUUGUUAAAAAAGGAAAAAUUGGGGCUUGAAUUAGGUGAUUGAUAAUUUUAUUUUUCUUCAUAAAAUUAGCCCAUAUUCUGAAAAUGUUUAAUAUCAUAUAAAAAAUUAUAGUCAUAUGGGUUAAACCAUAAUGUCAGUAAAACAGCAUCUACAUUAGUCUGGGGGAAAAAAACUAUAUUCUGCCACCAGCAGAAAGAUGAAUUUUGUUGGCCUUUGAAAGUCAGAGGAUUAACUAGUGUUUGGGGGGAAAUGUUUUAAAAGAUACAGAACCUGUCUUAUUUUCUGCUUCAUGAACUAGUAACACAAACACUGGAGAGGCUGUGAUGGGUGUGUUCCAGCUGUCUGCUAACAGAUGAGGCUUUUGAGGUUGUGAGCCAAAGGAACAGCAAACACCAUUCUGUGUUUAAUAAGCCUUAUACUCUCCAGUAUUGAGAUUACCCGUGACAGAGUUAAAACUUGGUGGGGAAAAAAAAAAAGUUAUUCCAAGCCACUGGCACAACAUAAGAUCCUGCCAUUGUAAAGGAAUCACAUGGAUUGUGAAGGAAGCAAUUGUGAAAG